CCCUUAGAUGUCCUGGGCUGCACGCGCGCUACACUGAUGUGUCCAGUAAGCACCUAACCUCUUCCGAAAGGAACGGGUAACCUUUGCAAAGCACAUCGUGAUGGGGAUAGAUUAUUGCAAUUAUUAGUCUUGAACGAGGAAUUCCUAGUAAGCACAAGUCAUCAGCUUGUGUUGAUUACGUCCCUGCCCUUUGUACACACCGCCCGUCGCUCCUACCGAUUGAAUGUUCCGGUGAGCUCUUCGGACUGCGCGGUCUGCAGUUUCUGCGUUCCGUGCGGAAAGUUGCGCAAACCUUAACAUUUAGAGGAAGGAGAAGGCGUAACA
This 324-nucleotide ribosomal RNA is filed under the name uncultured eukaryote. RNAcentral describes it as "partial 18S ribosomal RNA". It matches the Rfam family "Eukaryotic small subunit ribosomal RNA", at positions 1470 to 1796 of the family's 1831-position model. The record is from RNAcentral.